UAAGGUAGCAUAAUAAUUUGCCUCUUAAUUGGGGGAUAGAAUGAAUGGAUAGACGUAUACUGACUGUCUCAAAAUUUACUUAAUUGAAUUUAAUUUUAAAGUGAAAAAGCUUUAAUAAACAAAAAAGACAAGAAGACCCUGAUGAAUUUUUUAACUAUCUUUGUAAUUUUCAAAGUAUCUUUUGGUUGGGGCAACCGAAAAGGAAAAGCAUCCUUUUCUUCUUUAAUUUUUGGUGGAAUAAUUACCAUUUAUAUAAUGAUUUAAAAGAAAAUUACCGCAGGGAUAACAGCAUUAUUUUUUAUUAAAGUUCUUAUUUAAUAAAAAGUUUGUGACCUCGAUGUUGGACUAAAGUAACUUUUGGGUGCAGCAGCUCAAAAAGUUAGACUGUUCGUCUAUUAAAACUUUACAU
This 409-nucleotide ribosomal RNA is filed under the name Rhabdus sp. RNAcentral describes it as "partial 16S ribosomal RNA". It matches the Rfam family "Archaeal large subunit ribosomal RNA", at positions 2029 to 2670 of the family's 2987-position model. The record is from RNAcentral. Lineage: Eukaryota; Metazoa; Mollusca; Scaphopoda; Dentaliida; Rhabdidae.